AUACGUAGGGGGCGAGCGUUGUCCGGAAUGAUUGGGCGUAAAGGGCGCGUAGGCGGCCCGGUAAGUCUGGAGUGAAAGUCCUGUUUUUAAGAUGGGAAUUGCUUUGGAUACUGUCGGGCUUGAGUGCAGGAGAGGUAAGUGGAAUUCCCCGUGUAGCGGUGAAAUGCGUAGAGAUUGGGAGGAACACCAGUGGCGAAGGCGACUUACUGGACUGUAACUGACGCUGAGGCGCGAAAGUGUGGGGAGCAAACAGGAUUAGAUACCCUGGUAGUCCACACUGUAAACGAUGAAUGCUAGGUGUAGGGGGUAUCGACCCCUUCUGUGCCGCAGUCAACACAAUAAGCAUUCCGCCUGGGGAGUACGGCCGCAAGGUUGAAACUCAAAGGAAUUGACGGGG
Molecule: ribosomal RNA, 397 nt
Filed under: uncultured bacterium
Lineage: Bacteria
Description: partial 16S ribosomal RNA
Rfam family: Bacterial small subunit ribosomal RNA
Source: RNAcentral